GAACAAGGACCAAUGCGACAUUUUGGAAUUGAUCACAACCAUACUAAAUAAUAACAAAAUCGAGAGCAACAAAAUAAGGGGAUCAACCCUUCCACUUAUACAUGCAUGCUCAUGAAUGAGAAAACAAUGGCUCAUCAAAACAAGGGAAUGUAACUCCUGCUAGAAGACCCAGGUCAAAACGAGCAAACACAACAAAUGUAUA
RNAcentral lists this unclassified non-coding RNA (202 nucleotides) under Hevea brasiliensis (rubber tree). Lineage: Eukaryota; Viridiplantae; Streptophyta; Magnoliopsida; Malpighiales; Euphorbiaceae. The record is from RNAcentral.